GGAUCGAUGAUGACUUCCAUAUAUACAUUCCUUGGAAAGCUGAACAAAAUGAGUGAAAACUCUAUACCGUCAUCCUCGUCAAACUGAGGUCCAGCACACUGCUCCAUCAGGGGCUCGAGAGAGAGGAACAACAUCCAUUUGUUGACACAGACUGCACCAAGGCUUGGGGUGGGGUCUUUUUCUGGCAGAGGAGAGUAGCUGGGAAUUUUGGACGUUUGUAACUAAGAGACAGCUUGGUUGAAGGCAGCCAGGUGUGUCGUCAAUUUGUACCUUGGGUCCCUUGUCCUCCAGAGGAAGACUAUUGCUUCCACAUGGGGAGACAGCACAAGGUCAUUCCCAGACACCUCUUUCACUCACUUUCAUCCUUGUCAAGGGACGUAGGACUUCCCAUGGUGUUUGGAUAGCAUCAGGGGCAGGCAGGCAGUCUUCAGGAGGAUGGCGAUGCUGAUUUGCUUUCUGCAGAGGAGCCCAGAGAGGGUAUCCACACUGAACUUGUAUGUCCAUAGGAGGAAACCCAAACCGCAUGGUCCCAGAAGGGUCCUGGUGGUUAGAAGGGGAGAAAGCUGCACAUGCAUUUACCACACAGUCUUCUGUCUGGGUUGUGGAGAGAUGACUGUGAGCCUCUUUUGGGUGUUAUAGGGUGCAUACGGUUUAUUUUAUGAUGAUCUUGGGAUGCUGGGAUGGGAAUGUAAUUGCGAAUCCAUGUGUUCCCGCAACUCCACAGACUUGACUUGGUUUGGCAGGUGGUGUGGGCAUGGAAGGAAGGCCAGUGGAGACAAUGGAUGAUCUUGUUCUUAGCAGAUCACUGGAUGUGGCAGGGAGUCCUAGGACAUGUGUGGUGUGGGCUUCUUCAGGUGCUGGUGGUGUUGGCAUGAGGAAAGGAGGUAUCUUCGAGGGACAAUCUUCUUCUUGUGCGAUCCUUGGAGAUGCCAUGAGGCCCCUGGACACAUGUGGUGUGGGCUCCUUUGGAGGCUGUUGUAUCCCUUCUGAAUGUGGCGUGGGCAUAGAAGGAAGGCCAGUGGCCACGAGGGACAAUCUUGGUCUUGGGAGAUCCUGGAAAUGAUAGGGAGUCCCUUGAUAUGUGUGGCAUGGGCUCCUUCAGGUGCUAGUGGAUUCCUUAGGAUGGUGGUGUUGGCAUGAAAGGCAGGCUUGUAUCAUGAGGAAUGAUUGUCAUCUUGUCUGAUUCUUGGAGAUGGCAGGAAGCCCCUGGAAACACAUGGUGUGGACUCUUUCACAGGCUGUUGAAACCCUCCUGAAUGUGAGGCCAGAGACAGGCAGACAGCAGAUGUAUUGCAGGGAGCUGGAUGACAUGGCCCUUGGAACCUGUGCACAUGCCUGCCUUUCUGAUGCACGUCCAUGUUUUCUCUGCACCUCCCCGGUGGUGUUGGUAUAAAAAGCAGGCUUACAUCAGCAAGGGAUGAUUGUCGUCUCAUGCGAUCCUGGGAGAUGGCAGAAGUCCCGGGACACAUGGAGUGUGGGCUCUUUCGGAGGCUGUUGGAUCCCUCCUGAAUGUGUUGUGGCCAUGGAAGUAAGGCCAGUGGCUACGAGGGACAGUCUUCAUCUUGGGAGAUCCCUAGAGAGGGCAGGGAGCCCCUUGACAUGUGGAAUGUGAUCUCUGUUGGGUGCUGGUGGAUCCCACAGGUGGUCUGGCAUGGAAGAAGGCCAGAGGCUGCGAUGGAUCAUCUUUGUCUUGGGAGAUUCCUGGAGAUGGUGGGGAGCCCCUGGGCACGUGCAGCAUAUGUGGCGUGGGCUUCUUCAGGUGCUGGUGGAUCCCUCAGGAUGCUUUUCAAGGUUUUUCUAUGAGUUCUGUUAAAGAGUCUGAAAAUGGAGCGUAGAAGACAUGCUUCGAUUUCCAGGAUGGUUGUGUUUUCCAGAGAGGCGGAGGUAAACCACUGGCGCAGCCCUGCCUCCCACAGAUAAUUCCGGGUGCAGUGUUUCAUAUCUAGACUUGGACUUCUAUCCUACCAUACUUCUUUGUGUGCAGUUCAUUGUGGAACCAGCACAGAUUUUCAUACGAAAGUUAUUUCUUUUUAACCUCAAAAAGUGACAGAAUGGAGUGUAUCAUGAAAAAGUCUGACAUCAAAACCUCAAAAUGUGAUAUUGAUUGGGUGAGAUAGAAUUCCAUGGAAUUUCAUUGCCAAACCAGUGAAGUGCUAAUUUUGACAUUUGUACCAGCUAACGUAGCUGUGAAGAAACACACCAAUACACUUCUAAGGACAGCAUAGACCAAGAUCUAGGUUUCAUAUGGAUGAAUUUAUUCUUCCCUUUGAGGCAAGACAAGAAGGAAAGAAAGUAUUGGGAAUAAUGCUGCCCUCCCAUCCUCAAGGGCCAGUGGGAACUCUAAUAUUGAUUGGUUUUCACAGAAUUCCAUGGACUUUAACUGCUGAACCAAUGAUGCACUGAUUUUGUCACUUGUACCAGCUAACGCAUCUGGGAGGCAACAAAACAAUACUCUCCUGAGGUUAAUGUGGACCAAAAACUAGAUUUCAUAUAAAAGAGUUUAUUCCUUCUACUUGAGGUGUGACAUGAAGGAAAGUAAUGGAAAUAAUUCUGCCCUCCCAUUCUCAAGGGCCAGGGGGAAUUCAAAUAUUGAACGGAAGUGAUUUUGGAAUUGCAUGGAAUUCUCACUGCCAUCCCAAAGAAAUGCUGAUCUUGUCACUCUUACCUGUUUCAUUCCCUGGGGGCAGAACAAAAGGACGCACUCCAAAGAUCGGCAUGAACCAAGAACUGGGUUUCAUAUAAAAUAUUUUAUUCUGUCCUCUUGAGAUGUGACAUGAGAAAAGUAUUGAGAAUACUUCUAUCACCUCAUCUUCAAGAAUCCGUAGGAAUUCUCCCAUGGUGGACUUUACGGUUAACCUGAACAGGUCUUGGAAAAAGGACUUUAAACAUUCUCCUGUUCUGUGGAAUAAGUAUACUUUUUUCUGGACAUACACCUUGUCAGUGAGUUCCAUGUGAUACUAGAGUUGCAUAGAUUUUUAACCUUUACGCCAAUGAAGAUCUGAGGCAAACAUUGCCCCUUUUUUAGAAGUUUGCAUUUGUCACUGAUAACUGUAAUAAUUGAUCUUGUUGAAAAGCCUGGGAAAUGAAGAUCUGAUAUGUCACUUUUACCGGCUUCCUCAACUGAAAAAGAAUACAAUGAAACACGCUGAGAAUUUUUGUGCUUUCUCAGUCUUGCUGAUGAUCUUUCUAUGGGCCUGAAGCGUGGAGAGUGCCAGAGAGGCUGAUCCUCAGCAGUGUGGCAGAGGAAAGUUGGGUGCGACUAAGGGGUAUGCGGUGCCCACAUGCCACUGGGUCCUCAGCAGUACCACCUGAUUGGAAGUGAUAUUGGUGGAAGACAACAUUUUGCCGCUUGGAAUUCUCACCUCCACACCAAAGAAGUACUGUUUUUGUCAUUUGCACCAGCUUCUUUCUCCAGGAAAGAUCAAAACGAUGCACUGCAAGUGUGAUUGGUCCAGAUAGCUGCCUUAUCCAACUGCCUCCUUUGGACCACUUCAUCAUGGGACAGCUUGAUGCAAUCUACUUGACAAGACCCUGGAACCCCACACCCCUCAUGGAACCAGUGUCCACCUCCCAGUCACAGUGUGACCCCAGGGAACUCUUGCCUGCUUGCUUUAAACCCACCACUUAAAAGUCUCCACAGAAAACCUGUUUGAAUAGUACCCUUGACCCAAUAAGGGCAUUGGCCCCUGGGUGUCUCUCUCUCUCUCUCUCUCUCUCUCUCCCUCUCUCUCCCUCUCUCUCUCUCGCUCCCUGACCUCUGCGUGUGGACUCCAGGCAUGCCAUAUACCCCUCAGGACCUGAAGCAAAAGAAUGAAUUAAAGAAAACUCCAGAGAAUGAGCUGACAACCUACUCCCUGGUCAGUGGCUCUCCAUGCCUACCUGUGGUCUCUUGGACACCCUUGCAGAAGAUGACUUCCUGGGAACUCUUCUGGGAGUGAAUGUUAUCAGCAAAUUCCCAAAACAACACCCCUUAGACAAAAAGCCUCCUCACCUAUGCAUUGCCUAGACCACCCACUAAAGGUGAUGGCCACAAAGAGGUGGAUUUGUUGAGUUGGUGCCAUUCCUUCUACUGCCAGCUUCACCAAAACAAUGACACAGUCUUCCUUCCGCAUGGAGACUCUUCUCUUUCCUGUGUUGCAGUGGAUGCCUCCUGCAGAUAAGAAAUGCUUAACUGAGAAAUGCUCAUGUUGGGAUAUCAUCGAUGAGACUUUAAUUUGGGCAUGGUGACUGUUUCCCUUGCUGCCACUUGACUCAAUCCCAGGAGCCUCAGUAGAGGAUAUAAUAUUACACAAGAUGCUCAAAAUGGUGGAAUUGCUCAGUGCUCCCAUAAAUAUACAUUUAUAAUUUUCAUUUGCCACAUGGUAAACUGAAAAAUACAGACUAUAUUAAAAAGAAACUGCAUGAUUUUUUUUCAAAAAUUCAAAGCAUAUUUAAAUAAUAUAUAAAUUAAAUGCCCUCCUCUCUUCCAAUUCUGUCCCUAUAGUUUUCCUCUAUUAAGUGAACUACAUGCAUUCUUUUAGUGGAUAGAUGCACACAAACACACAAGCCAUUAUGGGGAAGGAUCCACGUGUGUGGCCAUAUUGUAACACAUUUUUCUGCAAAUCACCUCUUUCAUUUAACAGCCCUUAUUCAAUGGCCUUUUUCUUUUUCAGUAGUACAUACACAUCUGUGUCAUUUGUUGAAUGACGACAUGAAUGUUUUGUAGAUAAAAUAUAAUUAAAUGUUUUAAGCAUUUCUCACUCAUAGAUAUUUAUGUUAGCACCAAAUUUCUGUGCAAUGAACCUCCCUAUAUAUCAGUAAUUUUGCAUUUGUCUAUAAUAUCAUAAUAAAUUACUUAUCAGUUGAAUUACUGGGAUUAAGUAUGUGCACACUUUAUAUUUAUAUUUUGAAAAUUAUUGCAAGAUUGCCUUCAAAAAUGUGGUUAACAACUUUAUCUUCAAAUGGCAAUGAAUGAGAUUGCCAGCUUUCCUACAGCCUCACAGACAAUGGAUUUUAUAAAUAUUUAACAUUUUUGCCAAUGUGAUCACCCAAACUAUUGUCUUAAAUUGUAUCUCUUUUGUUUUUGAGUUUGGUCAUUUUUUCAUGUUUAUUAGCCAUCUGUAUUUUUUAAUUUCUUCUUUAUGUCCAAUUUUGUGGGUGGGAGGAGGAUUUAGUCUCUUCCUGAUUUCGAAGAGCUCAUUUACUAUUUCGGGAAAUAAGAUUUGGAUUGUCAACCAUUAUAGCUAUUUUUUACACACUUUUCAACUUUGUUUUUGUUAUAAGAAUGUGUAUGAUUGUUACAUGUCCAAGUAUAACCAUGUUCGCUUUUAUGGCUUCUGAGUUUCAUGUCAUUUUUGGAAAGAUAUAUAUAUUGAGUCCAUAAAACCCUUCACCUAUGUUAAAUUCUAAUUCUUUUGUGUUUUUUUAAUUCAAAUUCUUAAAUCAUGAGAAAUUUUUUUGUUUUGAAAUCUUAAAGUUGCCAAGUUACUUGCCAUUACUUGCGAUUAUUUGCCAAUAAUUGCCCAUUUAUCUGUACCGCCAUCUUGCGCAUAUGCUGUACUCUCAUCUGUGACUGGCUCCAUUUUUGUUCUGUGGAUUUGUGUGUCUCUUCUUCUGCCUCCUGUCUCGUGUCUGCUCGUUGGAAGAAAUUACAGUUUAGACUGCAAUUUCAUCAACUUUAAUAAAUCAAUUGAGGGGAGAAUUGGUUUUUAAAAAUAUUAAGUAAGUCUUCGUAUCCAAGGACAAGGUAUGUCUUUUCUUAUUCAAUAAUUUUAAUUACUGUUAAUAUUUUCACUGUGGUGAUGGGAGUUUUUCUUUUAAUUUAUUUUCUUGUUCAUUUUUUGUAUCUAAAGUUUUUGUUUUGUUUUGUUUUGGGGGUAAGUUGUCACCUUACUGUUUCUUGUUGCUUUUCAGAUUUUUUCAAAGUAUAGACUAAAUCCUUCACAAAUAUUUAAAGUUUUUAUUUUCCCCCUUCAUAUUGAUCCUGAUUUUAGUUAUGUUGACAAAGUCCACAGACUGUUACUAUCAGAACACUUGAACAGUUAUGGAAAUAUUACCUACCCUUGAUUUAAUCAGAGUUUAAUGGUAUGCUUCUUUGGUUUGACUGGCACAUUGUCGCUGGUCAUUUCCUCCCAAAGACCACCAGAAAGAGCUAUGAUCAAGCAAAGCUGAGUUUGUUAAACUUACCUGCAGCAAGGGAAAACACCACCUUGAUAGGGUUUAAUAAUGUUUCAAAAUCAAGAAAUGAGGCUUUGGGGUCUGGGCAGGGAACUAAUUAGAAAUGGGCAAAAUUUGUCAUGCAAUACCUUGUGGGAAAGUGAGAUGAGGUUCUUAAUGUGAGUAUUGAUGGUGAAAUCAUUUUCUAGGUGAGCUGUUUGCCUAUAUAAAGAUGUUAUCAAUGACAGAAGAACUAUUUGCCUAGAUAAACAAACUGAAUUUAUUUAUUGGUUUACAGUUUUAUCUUGCUGGGCAGGACUCUGCUGGGGGUGGUAUCAGGUCUUAUUCCCAAUAGGUAAGUUAUUUGGAUAUGGGUGGUCUUAAUCAUCAAUGUGUAAAAUGCUGAUUUUAAGUGCGAAAUACUUUGUCUACCAUGUUAGGAAAGUCUGCCACCUUUUAUCUUUUUUAAGGAAUUUUAAUCAAAACCAGGUGGUAGAUAUAAUCAAAUUGUUUUGCAGAAUCAAUUUUCCUGUUCUCUUUAAAGACUUUUAUCACUGUGAAUUAAUUUACUAUUAUUGCAACUUCCUUUAAUUCCUUGAAUGAACAGACCCUACUGGUUUUAAAAAUGUUUUAUUCUUUUAAUUUACUACUUAAUUGUGGGUAUUUUAAUUUGAUUUGGAAUUUUUACAAGUAUACAACUAAGUGAAAUUGAUCUGUGAUUUUUCUUUUUUGUGCUAUUUUUGUCAUGUUUUGAUAUCAGAUAUUCUGGUUGUGUUAAAAUAAUUUUGAGGAUUUUCUUCUUAUACUGUGUUCUAGAGUGGGUAAAAAAGCCCUAGUCUCACUAUCAGUGUUUAAGUGAACACAUCAGUGACAUCAUCUGGACUCUCCUUUGUUUUUGCUGGUUUGGAGUUAGGACAUCUAGAAGUUUUUUUCUUUUUUUCCUUUUUUUGUAUGGUUAUUGCUUGUUCUUUGUUUUGUGUCAAAUUUAACCUGUUUUCUCUUAGCAAAUCACAGCUCAUGCAGAUUUUCAAACACAUUAGCCUUGUUAUACAAAGUGUUCUUUCAUCAUUCUAUUAAAUUUCCAUUUUCAUUCCAGUUAUAGUUAUUUCUGCUGUGCCUUUGUUAAUGAAUAAGUUUAAACAGUGGAUGUUUAGCAUCACUAGCCUUCCCCUUCCAUCUCCCUUAAUCAGGACCUUGGUAUAAUUUAUCAGGUAUUUUUUAAGGUUCUAAUUUACUUAUAUAUAUUGUUUCUGUAUUCUUUUGUUUCUUUUCUUAAUAAAUUCUUAAA
Molecule: long non-coding RNA, 7423 nt
Filed under: Homo sapiens (human)
Lineage: Eukaryota; Metazoa; Chordata; Mammalia; Primates; Hominidae
Description: small nucleolar RNA host gene 14
Rfam family: Small nucleolar RNA SNORD116 (bases 1-92)
Source: RNAcentral